Molecule: ribosomal RNA, 519 nt
Filed under: Deroplia albida
Lineage: Eukaryota; Metazoa; Arthropoda; Insecta; Coleoptera; Cerambycidae
Description: partial large subunit ribosomal RNA
Rfam family: Bacterial large subunit ribosomal RNA
Source: RNAcentral
GGCCCUUUGAUUAUAAUUUAGGGUCUAACCUGCCCACUGAGGAAUUAAAGGGCCGCGGUAUUUUGACCGUGCAAAGGUAGCAUAAUCAUUAGUUUUUUAAUUGAAAGCUAGAAUGAAUGGUUGAAUGAGAAAAUGACUGUCUCAAAUUAAAUUGAUAUGAAUUUUAUUUUUAAGUAAAAAAGCUUAAAUUUUUUUGAAAGACGAGAAGACCCUAUAGAGUUUUAUAUUAAGAAUUAGAUUUUGAAAAUUUAGUAAUUUUUUUUUAAAAUUUAGUUUAGGUAUUUGAUUGGGGUGAUUGAAAAAUUUAAAUAACUUUUUUUUUAUAAAACCAUAAAUUUAUGAAUAAUUGAUCCAUAGUAUUAUGAUUAAAAGAUUAAAUUACCUUAGGGAUAACAGCGUAAUUUUAUUAGAGAGUUCUAAUCGAUAAUAAAGAUUGCGACCUCGAUGUUGGAUUAAAAUUAAUUUUUGGUGCAGAAGCUAAGAAUUUUAGGUCUGUUCGACCUUUAAAAUUUUACAUGA